This 497-nucleotide ribosomal RNA is filed under the name uncultured bacterium. RNAcentral describes it as "partial 16S ribosomal RNA". It matches the Rfam family "Bacterial small subunit ribosomal RNA", at positions 28 to 507 of the family's 1533-position model. The record is from RNAcentral.
GAUGAACGCUGGCGGCGUGCCUAAUACAUGCAAGUCGAGCGAACAGAUCAGGACUUUCCUCCUCUGACGUUGUCGCCCGUCGGGUUGUUCACAUCUGUAUAGCCUACCUCUAAGACUGUGAUAACUUCGGCGAACCGGACCUAAUACCGGAUAAUAUAUUGAACCGCAUUGUUCAAUCGUGAGAGACGGUUUUGCUGGCGCUUAUAGAUGGAUCCGCGUCGCAUCAGCUAGUUGGUUAGGUAGCUGCUUACCAACGCUACGAUGCGAAGCCGACCUGAGAGGGUGAACGGACAGACUGGAAGUGAGACACGGUCCAGACACCGACGGGAGGCAACAGUAGGGAAUCUUACGGAAGGGGGGAGAGCCUGAUGGAGGAACGCCGCGUGAGUGAUGAAGGACCUCGGAUCGUAAAACGAUGUUAGUAGGGAAGAACAAAAGUGUAAGUAACUAUGAACGUAUUGACGGUACCUAAAGAGAAAGCCACGGCUAACUCCGUG